GUAAACAGCCACUGUCUUGGGGCUCUCCAGUCUCUGGACUCCAGAAGACGACAAGAUUAUGGAUGAUAAUAUAACUGUUGGGGAAAUGUCAGUUAACCAUGAGACAGACAGAGCUUUUAGCUUUGCGGCUGCACCAAAGUCACUACGACAGAAUUUGAUCAGGCAGGGGAAGGGCAGUGAGGAAGCAGUCAGUUGUGCUGCCAUAGAAAUACAGAGGGUCUGGAGAGGAUAUAGAACAAGGU
Lingula anatina is the source of this 242-nucleotide long non-coding RNA. The record is from RefSeq and is a predicted model, not a curated record. NCBI's taxonomy places the organism in Eukaryota, Metazoa, Brachiopoda, Lingulata, Lingulida, Lingulidae.